CGUGAAAUCAUCAAGCCGGGGGCUUUUGAUGAUGUACUGAAUGAUGAUGUACGUGGCUUGUUUAAUCAUG
This 70-nucleotide small nucleolar RNA is filed under the name Escherichia coli 97.0264. Lineage: Bacteria; Pseudomonadati; Pseudomonadota; Gammaproteobacteria; Enterobacterales; Enterobacteriaceae. The record is from RNAcentral.